Non-coding RNA from Sesamum indicum (sesame), 545 nucleotides. Lineage: Eukaryota; Viridiplantae; Streptophyta; Magnoliopsida; Lamiales; Pedaliaceae. The record is from RefSeq and is a predicted model, not a curated record.
GGGGGGGAUUCAUGAACAAAGAUGGGGAGGCAGGUUGUUGAGUGGGCGAAGAUAUCGCCUUUUUAUUGAUGAAAAUGGAGAUGGAAGAAAUCUAGCAGGUAACUGGUAUAACAUCUUCAGUUGUGAGUUCAAAUUUUCGACUACUGACUCUACACUUUCCCACAAACUGUUGUAGCUCAUGCAGGUAAUAAAGUAUAUAUGGUCUCCCAAUCCAAACUGAGCGCAUUGUGAGAAAUUCAUUUGACAUAUAUGAUUGUCAGAGAGGUCUCCCCAGUAAAUAUGAUUCUUUCGUCCAGGCAUCUCCAAUUAAAAACAGGGCCUCAAACCAUAUACUGUUAUCAGUACGCUCAGAAAAUCCCAAUCAGAAUCCCUAUCCGCAAAAAUUGGAUAUCUGUUCAACCGGACAAACCAGAUAGUAAACACAGAUUUGGACGAAGGAAGAGCAUCAUGAUACAUAUUUGAAGUGUCAAAUGCAUAAAAAUUUAAAAACAAAAUUAUCCUGCUUCAAGAACAUCACCACCUAAUUCUAUUGAUAAAUCCUUUGA